Daphnia carinata is the source of this 643-nucleotide long non-coding RNA. RefSeq lists it as uncharacterized. The record is from RefSeq and is a predicted model, not a curated record. The transcript has 2 exons. Lineage: Eukaryota; Metazoa; Arthropoda; Branchiopoda; Diplostraca; Daphniidae.
ACAACAUAAAAGUAGCUUGUUUCAUUUCUACCAAGCUUUACAGGCAGGUGAAAUAGUUCAGACAUUGUGUUCAAAGUGAUUAUUUAGGAAUAUACUUACGAAUACGGCCGCUACAUAAUGCAACAGAAUUUGUAAUCCGAAAAUGUUGUCUUAUAUGUAGUAUCUUCUGCUCAUUAUCCAUGCCUGAAACACUGGCAAACUCAUUUAAAUAGACUAUAUAUCUUAUUAAUUCUUUAUAAGUGUAAAAUCAGGACAACAUUAUUAAACAUUUUAAAUAUUAAAGACUUGAAAGUUAUCAGCAGAAACUGACAUCAUUGGCAAUACUGGUACAUGGUUUAGUAAGCUUUUAAAAUUCUUGGAAGGAGUUACUAAAAUUUCCUCUCGACCUUUUGAAAUUUAUUCUUCAUCACUUGAGGAACUGCGCAUACUGCCUCUUUUUCCUUUUUUCCUUUCACAGAAUAUGGAGUGCAACUCAUCAUCUAAAGCAGAAACGAAUCCUUGGAACCAAAUGGCAACUGCUGUUGCUCCUGGAUCUGGUUUUGUUAGCUGUUCUUCACCAACGUAACUAGCACGUCCGACCCUACGUGUUUAUAAGAUCAGUUAAUUAUCAUGACUGUAAUGAAAUAAAUAAAAAAAAAAGCUA